CUCAGAGCAGUUUAUAUAGUAACCUGAAAAAUGUCAUAUGAAACUUUAUUAAUAUUUUUGUGUUUUCCGUUAUUGUUCAUGUUUUGUUUUAUUAAUAAAUCCUUGGAUUUUUAUAGUGUAAAAAUCUUCUUAAUUUAAACCAGCGACAAGUAAGCAGAUUUCAAGGGGAAAAACUAUCGAUAGUAUUCUUUUGAACUAUCGAAACUAUCGAGUGGUCUGACUAUCGAUAGCUUUGCAGCUUUAAUAUUAUGGUAAGCCGCCGGUAGAUUCUAACAUGUCUAUAAGGAACGUGAGUGGUAAUUGGGCUCGAAGUGAAUAGGAAAAGGCAAAUCACCUAGAAAAGCUAUUUUAGCCUAACUGCCCAAAAAACGAUUUUGAGCUGCUAAUUUUGCCCGACACCGCUAACGAGUCUUUAUUAAGACUUCAAAUCAAAAAGAGAGGAAUCCAAAAACGGAUAUGAUAAAAUUACUCCAAAAAUGCUAAUGGCGCUACCAAAUAUUGCUAUGGUAGUACUUUCCUCGCUCUUAAUUGCAAUUUUUAGUUUCGGAUAUUAUCCAAAUUCAUUUAAGAACUCGCAGAUCAUCAUGAUAGAUAAACACGGAAAAUAAAAUAUUCGAAAAAGUAUUACUAUCAACGAUUCCUCCAUGAAAAUAAUAUUUAUAAUUCUAACACACCAACUCAAGUUUCGUGCAAAACAUGGCGCAAGUAAAUAAAAAGCAUUCGAGCUCAGAGAGUACCAUUCAACAAUAUACCUUGCUGUAGCCCAGACAUUCGGUCAGAUGACGAUCUUGUACUAUCAGUUUGGGCACAGCAUCAAUAGUUUCCGGCACAGCUGAUUUUGGAUGACCUUCACGAAAUUCUUCUUGGAGUUAUCAACGACCUCGAUUGAAUUCACCAUACCAUCGAUAAACACUGGUUCUUGAUGGAGCUUCAUUGUCAAAAAUUGAAUAAAGUUCAUCGAUACACUGUUGCUGAGUUAGUCCACCUCGAAAGUUGUAAAAAAUAGUCGCGCGAAAAUUUUCGCGAUUUAAUUCCAUUUUUUGGCGGACUUACCUCCCUAUUUACUAAUACUGAUAAAUUUUCAUACGAAUCCAACGAGUCGCAAUUCAAAGUAGUAUAUUUUAUGUACGAGUAGAUUUAUUAUUGAACUGGUUCAGAAAACUUAAUUAGAAUUUCAGAAAAUGUAAAUAUCCGUUCAUAUGUACAUAUGUGCAUAUGUAUGUAGGGUUUGAAGCUUAAUAUGAACUUCAAAAGUAACAUACAAAAGGUAGAAAAAUGUGCCUAACGUAGAUUACAGAAUGUCAGAGCACUCUACCGUACACAUAUAACGAAAAUAUUUCAUCGACACAUACAUACAUAUGGACACAUUUUUCUUUAACAUUCUCCAUUAUAUAAUACAUUUUUAUACAUAAACAUAUAAUACUUAUUUGUAUACACAUACUUGUAUAAACAUUCGAUGGAGUUAAUAACACUUCAUCUUCUCUAAGAAUAAAAAUGCAAUGGCUGUAGAUUAAUUUUUCCUUAUUUUAACGAUUUUCUUCUGCAUUUUGAUAAUUUUUAUCCGUAAUGUGAGCUGAAUUAUCAGAUUUUCAGAAGAGAACACGCAUAUUUAUUUAGAAUUAAAUGUGCCUUGUGUAAUGUAAAAAAUUUGUUAUGUAAGUUAUUCAAUAUUUUCAAACCUUAUCCACAUAAUGGGAGGAGUAGGGUUACAUAAAAAAUACGACAAUGACACAAAGUCGAAUUGCGGUGCCACUCAGUGCUGGGUCAUCUGAAGUCAAAAAAUCAAAACUACAUAAUCGCUUUACCUAGAUAACGCUAAGAGGGUUUCUUCAAUUUUUUACUUUUUGGGAACGCUUUGAAGGAAAAAAGCGAUUUUUAUCAAAAAAAAAAACAAAAAGGUUAAUUAAUUUUAAAAUAAAAAAUAUUCAAAAAAGCUCUACAGCGUAACCUCGUAAAUUAAGGUGCAGUAGUUUUGAAGUUAUGAGGGGUACCGAUUUUGAAAGCAUAAGUUGUGGUGAAGACGCUUUAAAGUUUUGAACACUAAUAAAUCUGAUGUAAAACGUACGUCAGUUCGAAAUAAAAAUAGCCAAAACUUUGUCAUUAUGCUAGGAUCGGAUAGUUACAACAUUCUAGAGAUAUCAUGCAAUCAGUCAGUUAACUGACUUUUUUCACAGAAGUUGAUGAUUUCCAACCAGACGGACGUCUCAUGUUUCACAUUUAAAAAUGGACACAUUGCGUGCAAAGUUUGGCGGCUCGUUAGUUUUGAGAAAUGGCCGCCAAGAUCAUGAGAUUUAACGCCUCUAGAUUAUUUUCUCUGGGAGUAUAUGAAUUUAAAUGGUUACGCCAAUCAACCAGCAGCGCUCGAGAAGCUCGAAGAUAACAUUCAGCGCACCGAAAUUCCAGCCGAAAUGCUGCUCCGGGUCGAAAAUAUUGUAAAAAUCGUAAACGAACCAUUGACAGUCUGGUUACAUUAAUAAUAAUCGUAAAAACUUCCUUUUUUUUGUUCAUGAAGUCAAUAAGCUAUGCAUUUUUCACCCACUUUUCACAUUUUUAAGUUUUAAUAAGUUUUGAGACGAAGUUGUCGUAUACCUCAUUUCUGUCAUUAGUUAAAAAUAUAUCACAGACGACUGUUGGGUCAUGAAAACAUAAGUAUCUUUAUUUUGCAAAGUUUGCGGGAACAAGUUGAACAAAAUAUAAAACGAUCAGUUUUGUAAAAAAAAAGGGUAGUCAAAAAAGCACGGAAUAUGUUAUCUCUAAUGACGAACACUUGAAUUAAUUUAUUAAAUUUUUAUUUCAAUUUACGAAAUGAUAGCAGAGAUAUGCAAAGGGCGUCAAAUGUUAAAUUUAACACUAUAUUCAACACUAUAAUUAUAAACAAUGUGUUGUACAUACUCGUAUAUGCAUGUCUAAGGUGAUGUAUUUCCGACAGCGUAAAAAGUGUAAAUGUCAGCGACAAUUCUGGCAACCAAUUUGAAAAAAAUAAAACCACUACUAUAAGUCGCGACAAUCCACAAUCCCUCCAAAUUCAAAAGCGAUUAGCUUUAAAUACCCUCCUAACUGUAAUUAAGCAAGUGA
Non-coding RNA from Bactrocera oleae (olive fruit fly), 3075 nucleotides. The record is from RefSeq and is a predicted model, not a curated record. NCBI's taxonomy places the organism in Eukaryota, Metazoa, Arthropoda, Insecta, Diptera, Tephritidae.